Molecule: ribosomal RNA, 1051 nt
Filed under: Symbiodinium sp. Mp
Lineage: Eukaryota; Dinophyceae; Suessiales; Symbiodiniaceae
Description: partial Bacterial small subunit ribosomal RNA
Rfam family: Bacterial small subunit ribosomal RNA
Source: RNAcentral
AUGGAGAGUUUGAUCCUGGCUCAGGACGAACGCUGGCGGCGUGCUUAACACAUGCAAGUCGAACGGAAAGGCCCUGCUUUUGUGGGGUGCUCGAGUGGCGAACGGGUGAGUAACACGUGAGUAACCUGCCCUUGACUUUGGGAUAACUUCAGGAAACUGGGGCUAAUACCGGAUAGGAGCUCCUGCUGCAUGGUGGGGGUUGGAAAGUUUCGGCGGUUGGGGAUGGACUCGCGGCUUAUCAGCUUGUUGGUGGGGUAGUGGCUUACCAAGGCUUUGACGGGUAGCCGGCCUGAGAGGGUGACCAGCCACACUGGGACUGAGACACGGACCAGACUCCUACGGGAGGCAGCAGUGGGGAAUAUUGCACAAUGGGCGGAAGCCUGAUGCAGCAACGCCGCGUGCGGGAUGACGGCCUUCGGGUUGUAAACCGCUUUCGCCUGUGACGAAGCGUGAGUGACGGUAAUGGGUAAAGAAGCACCGGCUAACUACGUGCCAGCAGCCGCGGUGAUACGUAGGGUGCGAGCGUUGUCCGGAUUUAUUGGGCGUAAAGGGCUCGUAGGUGGUUGAUCGCGUCGGAAGUGUAAUCUUGGGGCUUAACCCUGAGCGUGCUUUCGAUACGGGUUGACUUGAGGAAGGUAGGGGAGAAUGGAAUUCCUGGUGGAGCGGUGGAAUGCGCAGAUAUCAGGAGGAACACCAGUGGCGAAGGCGGUUCUCUGGGCCUUUCCUGACGCUGAGGAGCGAAAGCGUGGGGAGCGAACAGGCUUAGAUACCCUGGUAGUCCACGCUGUAAACGGUGGGUACUAGGUGUGGGGUCCAUUCCACGGGUUCCGUGCCGUAGCUAACGCUUUAAGUACUCCGCCUGGGGAGUACGGCCGCAAGGCUAAAACUCAAAGGAAUUGACGGGGGCCCGCACAAGCGGUGGAGCAUGUGGUUUAAUUCGAAGCAACGCGCAGAACCUUACCAGCCCUUGACAUUUGGUGCUACAUUCGGAGACGGAUGGUUCCCUUCGGGGACGCCAGGACAGGUGCUGCAUGGCUGUCGUCAGCUCGUG